GAUGAACGCUGGCGGCGUGCUUAACACAUGCAAGUCGAACGAAGCAUUUAGGACAGAUUACUUCGGUUUGAAGUUCUUUAUGACUGAGUGGCGGACGGGUGAGUAACGCGUGGGUAACCUGCCUUGUACUGGGGGAUAGCAGCUGGAAACGGCUGGUAAUACCGCAUAAGCGCACAAUGUUGCAUGACAUGGUGUGAAAAACUCCGGUGGUAUAAGAUGGACCCGCGUCUGAUUAGCUAGUUGGUGAGAUAACAGCCCACCAAGGCGACGAUCAGUAGCCGACCUGAGAGGGUGACGGGCCACAUUGGGACUGAGACACGGCACAGACUCCUACGGGAGGCAGAAGUGGGUAAUAUUGCACAAUGGAGUAAACUCUGAUGCAGCGACGACGCGUGAGUGAAGAAGUAAUUCGUUAUGUAAAGCUCUAUCAGCAGGGAAGAUAGUGACGGUACCUGACUAAGAAGCUCCGGCUAAAUACGUG
This 481-nucleotide ribosomal RNA is filed under the name uncultured bacterium. RNAcentral's name for it is "partial 16S ribosomal RNA". It matches the Rfam family "Bacterial small subunit ribosomal RNA", at positions 28 to 507 of the family's 1533-position model. The record is from RNAcentral.